GGCCUGCUGCGGCGAUAUCAUGUGCACGUGGCCGUCUAUGCCCGCCGCGGUGAGGAUAAGGUGCUCGCCCGAGAUGGCGUCGGUCGCGGCGCCCGUCACCAGAUCGGGGUGCACGCCGUGCAUGAUGUUGGGGUUGCCCGCCUUGCCUAUGCCUGCUAUCUUGCCGUCCUUGAUGCCCACGUCGGCCUUCACCACGCCCAGUUUGGCGUCGAUUAUGGUCACGUUGGUUAUCACCAGAUCGAGCGAACCCUCCUUCGAGGUCAUGGUGUUGGCCAGACCCAUUCCGUCGCG
RNAcentral lists this small RNA (291 nucleotides) under uncultured Alistipes sp. Its description in RNAcentral is "5' ureB small RNA". It matches the Rfam family "5' ureB small RNA". Lineage: Bacteria; Pseudomonadati; Bacteroidota; Bacteroidia; Bacteroidales; Rikenellaceae. The record is from RNAcentral.